RNAcentral lists this ribosomal RNA (432 nucleotides) under uncultured bacterium. Its description in RNAcentral is "partial 16S ribosomal RNA". It matches the Rfam family "Bacterial small subunit ribosomal RNA", at positions 338 to 795 of the family's 1533-position model. The record is from RNAcentral.
CCUACGGGGGGCAGCAGUGGGGAAUCUUGCGCAAUGGCCUAACGGCUGACGCAGCGACGCCGCGUGAGGGAUGACGCUCUUCGGAGUGUAAACCUCUUUUGCCUGAGACGCUGUAUCGGGUGAAUAAGCACCGGCUAACUCCGUGCCAGCAGCCGCGGUAAUACGGGGGGUGCGAGCGUUGUCCGGAAUCACUGGGCGUAAAGGGCGCGUAGGUGGCCUGAUAAGGGUGUGGUGAAAGUCCGGGGCUCAACCCCGGAUCGGCCGUGCCGACUGUUAGGCUAGAGUACUGUAGGGGCAGGCGGAAUUCCGGGUGUAGCGGUGGAAUGCGUAGAGAUCCGGAGGAAGACCGGUGGCGAAGGCGGCCUGCUGGGCAGUACUGACACUGAGGCGCGACAGCGUGGGGAGCAAACAGGAUUAGAUACCCUUGUAGUC